CCUACGGGAGGCAGCAGUGAGGAAUAUUGGUCAAUGGGCGAGAGCCUGAACCAGCCAAGUCGCGUGCAGGAGGAAGGAUCUAUGGAUUGUAAACCUCUUUUAUCUGGGAACAAAGUGAGGCACGCGUUCCUUUCUGUAUGUACCAUAUGAAUAAGCAUCGGCUAACUCCGUGCCAGCAGCCGCGGUAAUACGGAGGAUGCGAGCGUUAUCCGGAUUUAUUGGGUUUAAAGGGUGCGUAGGUGGUGAAUUAAGUCAGCGGUUAAAGUUUGGGGCUCAACCAUAAAAUUGCCGUUGAAACUGGUUGACUUGAGUAUGUGUGAAGUAGGCGGAAUGCGUGGUGUAGCGGUGAAAUGCAUAGAUAUCACGCAGAACUCCGAUUGCGAAGGCAGCUUACU
Molecule: ribosomal RNA, 395 nt
Filed under: uncultured bacterium
Lineage: Bacteria
Description: partial 16S ribosomal RNA
Rfam family: Bacterial small subunit ribosomal RNA
Source: RNAcentral